Molecule: ribosomal RNA, 482 nt
Filed under: uncultured bacterium
Lineage: Bacteria
Description: bacterial SSU rRNA
Rfam family: Bacterial small subunit ribosomal RNA
Source: RNAcentral
AUGAACGCUAGCGGCAGGCCUAAUACAUGCAAGUCGAACGGUAGAUCGGGUAGCAAUACUUGAUUGAGAGUGACGUAAGGGUGCGUAACACGUAUGCAAUCUACCCUCAACAGGAGUGUAGCUCGGGGAAACUCGGAUUAACACUCCAUAACAUUACGAUGUGGCAUCACAUUGUGAUUAAAACUCCGGUGGUUGAGGAUGAGCAUGCGUCUGAUUAGUUAGUUGGAGGUGUAACGGACCCCCAAGACGAUGAUCAGUAGGGGAACUGAGAGGUUGAUCCCCCACACUGGCACUGAGAUACGGGCCAGACUCCUACGGGAGGCAGCAGUAGGGAAUAUUGGUCAAUGGGUGAGAGCCUGAACCAGCCAUGCCGCGUGCAGGAAGACGGCCUUCUGGGUUGUAAACUGCUUUUAUCUGGGGAUAAAAAGCCCAUGCGUGGGACAUUGAAGGUACCAGAUGAAUAAGCACCGGCUAACUACGUG